Homo sapiens (human) is the source of this 2251-nucleotide long non-coding RNA. RefSeq annotates it as MIR29B2 and MIR29C host gene. Lineage: Eukaryota; Metazoa; Chordata; Mammalia; Primates; Hominidae. The transcript is spliced from 6 exons. The record is from RefSeq and is marked validated.
AGCUUUCUAAAAUCUCUUUAGGGGUGUGCGUAGGCUCCUGUGUCUAUGCCUGCUUUUGACUGCCCAGUUGAAGCCUCUUCCUAUGCCUUUUAAAAUUUCACGCACUAUAAGGAGGAAGAGCUCAGGGCUCCCAAAACUUUUUAUUUAGAGGGAAGAAUGCUAGGGAGAUGGGUAUGCAGAGGGUUGACCAAAUUGGAAGAAAAUAUUUAUUCUGUAGUUUGGUGUUGGAAAAGGGAAUUUUCCAAUCAGCCACACCUCAGUGUUGCGGCAAAAUAAUUCUUGGCUCCCCUGGAAACGCAUGGGCAAGGUAGGGCAGAGCUGCUGCUGCUGAUACUGCCACCACCCUGGGCUUCCUGCUGACUCUGGGCUACUCCCUGGGGACAACAGAUUUGCAUUGACGUCCGGGGCUGUCCAGAGGCCCUCAAGAGCCAGUUGUGAGCUGAGCCCAGUAUGGGAAAGAUCUACCUUCUGGAAGCUACUACUACGUGGUGCUUGGAAAGAUGACUCAGUGUAUCGGGAGCCGGGAGAUGGAGCUCUCAGCAGAGUGGCCAGGAUGUUCUGUCAACAUGAAAGCUACAAAAACAGCUCGGGGCUCUGAGCUGAUCCUUAGCCUGGGGUCAUUUUCAGGGAGGGCUGGACAGAGAAGGCGGCCACCGCCCGGGCAUCAGGAUGGGAGCGACACCAGAGGACUCAGGAGAGUGCAGCUUGCUCUGUGAGUGGGUGACAACCUCUUGGCGACUCAGGCUCAGCUGAGGAUGGUGCCAGUGUGCCGGAGACAGCCGUCAUACUGCCGGAUAGAGUGGCUCACUUGCAUGUAUUUGGAACAAAAAAAGGAGAUGCCUGGCAGCCCCGCUCUCUGCAGUGCUGUUGAGCCACCAAUUUUUGUGGUUUUGUGACCACAAGUGCUGACUGAUGCGACAUGACCCCAGUCUUGUCAGUGAAUCAUCACCAGGCUGCUUACUGGAAACUGGAUGCAGCAAGGAAAUAGGAUUUAACCGCUCUCUGCCUCCCAGGAGCCCUGAAAUCAGCAUUCCCAGAGGAAAGAAGAUGGCCAUCUGGGCUUGGCUUCCGGCUCCCCCCAUCUGGCUGGAACACACAUCAGUCACCCCUGUGUAACCUCCUCUGUGCCUUUCCCAUGGAGCACUGUGUCAUAUCACAAGUAGAACUACAAGAAGAUAUUUCUCCUCAGGGCAGAGGCUGGGUCUUCCGAUUGAAUCUCCCUUCUUUCUUCAUUGAGAUCCUCUUCUUCUGGAAGCUGGUUUCACAUGGUGGCUUAGAUUUUUCCAUCUUUGUAUCUAGCACCAUUUGAAAUCAGUGUUUUAGGAGUAAGAAUUGCAGCACAGCCAAGGGUGGACUGCAGAGGAACUGCUGCUCAUGGAACUGGCUCCUCUCCUCUUGCCACUUGAGUCUGUUCGAGAAGUCCAGGGAAGAACUUGAAGAGCAAAAUACACUCUUGAGUUUGUUGGGUUUUGGGAGAGGUGACAGUAGAGAAGGGGGUUGUGUUUAAAAUAAACACAGUGGCUUGAGCAGGGGCAGAGGUUGUGAUGCUAUUUCUGUUGACUCCUAGCAGCCAUCACCAGCAUGAAUGUGUUCGUAGGGCCUUUGAGUGUGGCGAUUGUCAUAUUCUGUUGGAUAACAAUGUAUUGGGUGUCGAUUGUCAUGGGGCAGGGGAGAGGGCAGUACACCUGGAGGACCAUUUUGUCCACAUCGACACCAUCAGUCUGCUCUUAGAGGAUGCCCUGGAGUAUUCGGCGUUGAUUGCGGGGCACCCGAAAUCAGACUUGCCACCUGGACUGUCGAGGUGCAGACCCUGGGAGCACCACUGGCCCAUCUCUUACACAGGCUGACCGAUUUCUCCUGGUGUUCAGAGUCUGUUUUUGUCUAGCACCAUUUGAAAUCGGUUAUGAUGUAGGGGGAAAAGCAGCAGCCUCGAAGCCUCAUGCCAACUCUGGGCAGCAGCAGCCUGUGGUUUCCUGGAAGAUGGAUGGGCAGAGAAUAGGGAAGGAAGAUCAUGCUUUUCCCUACUAACUUCUGUAACUGCAUGUAUGAUACAUUAUUGCAGAGGUAAGAGAUAGUUUAAUGGAUUUUUAAAAACAAAUUACUAUAAUUUAUCUGAUGUUCUCUAGUUGCAUUUUGCUGAAAUGUAGUGCUGUUCUAAAUUCUGUAAAUUGAUUGCUGUUGAAUUAUCUUUCUGUUGAGAAGAGUCUAUUCAUGCAUCCUGACCUUAAUAAAUACUAUGUUCAGUUUAUCA